CAAGUCCGUAGACGAGAGUGAAUGCGUAGCUUGCUCCCUGAUGUCAGCGGCGGACGGGUGAGUAACACGUGGGUAACCUGCCUGUAAGACUGGGAUAACUCCGGGAAACCGGGGCUAAUACCGGAUGCUUGAUUGAACCGCAUGGUUCAAUUAUAAAAGGUGGCUUUUAGCUACCACUUACAGAUGGACCCGCGGCGCAUUAGCUAGUUGGUGAGGUAACGGCUCACCAAGGCAACGAUGCGUAGCCGACCUGAGAGGGUGAUCGGCCACACUGGGACUGAGACACGGCCCAGACUCCUACGGGAGGCAGCAGUAGGGAAUCUUCCGCAAUGGACGAAAGUCUGACGGAGCAACGCCGCGUGAGUGAUGAAGGUUUUCGGAUCGUAAAACUCUGUUGUUAGGGAAGAACAAGUACCGUUCGAAUAGGGCGGUACCUUGACGGUACCUAACCAGAAAGCCACGGCUAACUACGUGCCAGCAGCCGCGGUAAUACGUAGGUGGCAAGCGUUGUCCGGAAUUAUUGGGCGUAAAGCGCGCGCAGGCGGUUUCUUAAUUCUGAUGUGAAAGCCCCCGGCUCAACCGGGGAGGGUCAUUGGAAACUGGGGAACUUGAGUGCAAAAGAGGAGAGUGGAAUUCCACGUGUAGCGGUGAAAUGCGUAGAGAUGUGGAGGAACGCCAUUGGCGAAGGCGACUCUCUGGGCUGUAACUGACCCUGAGGCGCGAAA
RNAcentral lists this ribosomal RNA (725 nucleotides) under Bacillus haynesii. RNAcentral describes it as "bacterial SSU rRNA". It matches the Rfam family "Bacterial small subunit ribosomal RNA", at positions 58 to 758 of the family's 1533-position model. The record is from RNAcentral. Lineage: Bacteria; Bacillati; Bacillota; Bacilli; Caryophanales; Bacillaceae.